UGGGGAAUAUUGCACAAUGGGCGCAAGCCUGAUGCAGCCAUGCCGCGCGUAUGAAGAAGGCCUUCGGGUUGUAAAGUACUUUCAGCGGGGAGGAAGGGAGUAAAGUUAAUACCUUUGCCCAUUGACGUUACCCGCAGAAGAAGCACCGGCUAACUCCGUGCCAGCAGCCGCGGUAAUACGGAGGGUGCAAGCGUUAAUCGGAAUUACUGGGCGUAAAGCGCACGCAGGCGGUUUGUUAAGUCAGAUGUGAAAUCCCCGGGCUCAACCUGGGAACUACAUCUGAUACUGGCAAGCUUGAGUCUCGUAGAGGGGGGUAGAAUUCCAGGUGUAGCGGUGAAAUGCGUAGAGAUCUGGAGGAAUACCGGUGGCGAAGGCGGCCCCCUGGACGAAAAAUGACGCUCAAGUGCGAAAGCGUGGGGAGCAAACAGG
This 429-nucleotide ribosomal RNA is filed under the name Chloroflexota bacterium. Its description in RNAcentral is "Chloroflexi bacterium partial 16S ribosomal RNA". It matches the Rfam family "Bacterial small subunit ribosomal RNA", at positions 355 to 776 of the family's 1533-position model. The record is from RNAcentral. Lineage: Bacteria; Bacillati; Chloroflexota.